Molecule: ribosomal RNA, 433 nt
Filed under: uncultured bacterium
Lineage: Bacteria
Description: partial 16S ribosomal RNA
Rfam family: Bacterial small subunit ribosomal RNA
Source: RNAcentral
AACGAACGCUGGCGGCAUGCCUAACACAUGCAAGUCGAACGAGACCUUCGGGUCUAGUGGCGCACGGGUGCGUAACGCGUGGGAAUCUGCCCUUCUGUUGGGAAUAACUGAGAGAAAUUUCAGCUAAUACCUUAUAAUGUCUUCUGCCCAAAGAUUUAUCGCCGAGGGAUGAGCCCGCGUAGGAUUAGGUAGUUGGUGGGGUAAUGGCCUACCAAGCCGACGAUCCUUAGCUGGUCUGAGAGGAUGAUCAGCCACACUGGGACUGAGACACGGCCCAGACUCCUACGGGAGGCAGCAGUGGGUAAUAUUGGACAAUGGGCGAAAGCCUGAUCCAGCAAUGCCGCGUGAGUGAUGAAGGCCUUAGGGUUGUAAAGCUCUUUUACCCGGGAUGAUAAUGACAGUACCGGGAGAAUAAGCUCCGGCUAACUCCGUG